This 863-nucleotide long non-coding RNA is filed under the name Rattus norvegicus (Norway rat). RNAcentral describes it as "long non-coding RNA NONRATT004183". Lineage: Eukaryota; Metazoa; Chordata; Mammalia; Rodentia; Muridae. The record is from RNAcentral.
GUUAAAACAAAACUGUUUUACCAAAGGUCAUGGAAUAGGAUUGGAGUCAGGUUUUCUGUCUCCUGUGUUCUUGUCAAAAAACUAGUAGAUGUCUGAAGGAAAAGCUUAAAUGUAGUUUCCAAUAAAAUAUUAGGUAGCCGGUGAAGGUGUGAGAUUUGCAAUAACUAAUAAUUUAGUUUUUGUUAGAGAAAAACAGUGAUAUACAAGGAAAUGUUGGUAAUAGUUUUAAACAGUGGUAGAAUACUCUUUGUGUCAUGUCUUUUUUAAAUGUCACACACAGUCACUAUAAAUUAAUCUUCUGUAAUUUAGUAUAAGAGAACAGAAGUCCCAUAAACAUAAAACUAACCUCUUAUAAAGUUUGGACAGAGAGAAACUCGGAUAUCCUGGCUCAUAUCCUGGCUCCACGAUAGAUCCUACCAUGUUCAUUUGUCUUUGAGACAUUUCUCCUGGACUUGUGCCAGGACUGAUGGCCCUCUAUAUUCUUGAAAGCUAAAUUCUUAAAAUAACUUAAAUGUGUAAUGUAUCCUUGGUAUAGCCUUUGCACAGAUCUGCUGCCCCCUACUACGUAGAGGUGGCUCAUUAAGACAUGUUAGUGGAAUAAUUAAUAAAAAUGUAAAUGAAUGGAAUAAUUAAUUAAAAACAAGACAUACAUUAGUAUCAUGAUCUAAGUCUUCAGAUGUUGCUCAGUUUUGAUGCUAAUCCUUACGUAUCUAUAUGUGUAUGUGCGUGCAUGCACAUAUGUGCAUUUUUUUUCCUCUACAGCACCAAUGUGGUUAUGAAUUAUUCAGAGAUCGAGUCCAAAGUUCGAGAAGCAACGAAUGAUGAUCCUUGGGGACCUUCUGGGCAGCUCAUGGGAGAGAUUG